AGUGAACGCUGGCGGUAGGCCUAACACAUGCAAGUCGAACGGCAGCACAGUAAGAGCUUGCUCUUACGGGUGGCGAGUGGCGGACGGGUGAGGAAUACAUCGGCAUCUACUUUUUCGUGGGGGAUAACGUAGGGACACUUACGCUAAUACCGCAUACGACCUACGGGUGAAAGCAGGGGAUCUUCGGACCUUUCGCGAUUGAAUGAGCUGAUGUCGGAUUAGCUAGUUGGCGGGGUAAAGGCCCACCAAGGCGACGCUCCGUAGCUGGUCUGAGAGGAUGAUCAGCCACACUGGAACUGAGACACGGUCCAGACUCCUACGGGAGGCAGCAGUGGGGAAUAUUGGACAAUGGGCGCAAGCCUGAUCCAGCCAUACCGCGUGGGUGAAGAAGGCCUUCGGGUUGUAAAGCCCUUUUGUUGGGAAAGAAAAGCAGCAGGUUAAUACCCCGCUGUUCUGACGGUACCCAAAGAAUAAGCACCGGCUAACUUCGUG
RNAcentral lists this ribosomal RNA (492 nucleotides) under uncultured bacterium. Its description in RNAcentral is "partial 16S ribosomal RNA". It matches the Rfam family "Bacterial small subunit ribosomal RNA", at positions 29 to 507 of the family's 1533-position model. The record is from RNAcentral.